Tachyglossus aculeatus (Australian echidna) is the source of this 140-nucleotide small nucleolar RNA. The record is from RefSeq and is a predicted model, not a curated record. NCBI's taxonomy places the organism in Eukaryota, Metazoa, Chordata, Mammalia, Monotremata, Tachyglossidae.
GACCUCUCACGGAGUUGAACCUGGAGAGUUUCCAGUACUCCACCAGUCUCAACUACGGGAGGGAGAGUCAAGAAGAAGCCUACCCAUUCCACUCCUAGCUUGGCCAGUGGCUAGUGAGUGGAAGGCAAUCUGCUACAAGU